GGACGAACGCUGGCGGCGUGCUUAACACAUGCAAGUCGAACGGUAAGGCCCUUUCGGGGGUACACGAGUGGCGAACGGGUGAGUAACACGUGGGUGAUCUGCCCUGCACUUUGGGAUAAGCCUGGGAAACUGGGUCUAAUACCGGAUAGGACUACGCGAUGCAUGUCGUGUGGUGGAAAGCUUUUGCGGUGUGGGAUGGGCCCGCGGCCUAUCAGCUUGUUGGUGGGGUGAUGGCCUACCAAGGCGACGACGGGUAGCCGGCCUGAGAGGGUGUCCGGCCACACUGGGACUGAGAUACGGCCCAGACUCCUACGGGAGGCAGCAGUGGGGAAUAUUGCACAAUGGGCGCAAGCCUGAUGCAGCGACGCCGCGUGGGGGAUGACGGCCUUCGGGUUGUAAACCCCUUUCAGCACAGACGAAGCGUAAGUGACGGUAUGUGCAGAAGAAGCACCGGCCAACUACGUG
Molecule: ribosomal RNA, 465 nt
Filed under: uncultured bacterium
Lineage: Bacteria
Description: partial 16S ribosomal RNA
Rfam family: Bacterial small subunit ribosomal RNA
Source: RNAcentral